This 455-nucleotide ribosomal RNA is filed under the name uncultured bacterium. RNAcentral describes it as "partial 16S ribosomal RNA". It matches the Rfam family "Bacterial small subunit ribosomal RNA", at positions 341 to 792 of the family's 1533-position model. The record is from RNAcentral.
ACGGAAGGCAGCAGUGAGGAAUAUUGGUCAAUGGACGGAAGUCUGAACCAGCCAUGCCGCGUGCAGGAAUAAGGCCCUAUGGGUCGUAAACUGCUUUUGCUGCGGAGCAAUAAGGGCCACGUGCUGGUCCGAUGAGAGUACGCAGCGAAUAAGCAUCGGCUAACUCCGUGCCAGCAGCCGCGGUAGUACGGAGGAUGCAAGCGUUAUCCGGAUUUAUUGGGUUUAAAGGGUGCGUAGGCUGUGCGUUAAGUCAGGGGUGAAAUGCUCUCGCUCAACGAGGGAAGUGCCUUUGAUACUGGCGCGCUGGAGUGCGGAUGCCGUUGGAGGAAUGAGUGGUGUAGCGGUGAAAUGCUUAGAUAUCACUCAGAACACCGAUUGCGAAGGCAUCUGACGAAUCCGUAACUGACGCUGAGGCACGAAAGCGUGGGGAUAGAACAGGAUUAGAUACCCUGGUA